This 1810-nucleotide long non-coding RNA is filed under the name Ananas comosus (pineapple). RNAcentral describes it as "long non-coding RNA (ACOM_LNC022558)". Lineage: Eukaryota; Viridiplantae; Streptophyta; Magnoliopsida; Poales; Bromeliaceae. The record is from RNAcentral.
CAUAAAAAAAUAGUACUUAUGUCCGUAAAUUUAUGGGUAAUUUGCGGAUACCCGCGUGUAUGAAAGUGAUUAUCGAGUCUAGUCUAUUGUUACGAGAUAGAAAAUUAAACUUAUUUUAGACAAUAUUAUAUGAAUUAGGCUGAAAUGCUUCUAAUAGUACCAAGUCAUUAGCGCCAUUAGGUUUUCAGCCCUUGGAUGAAGGAUUGUACGGUUAGGAUGAUAGCGAUCUUAUAGGGUUGAAUGGGUGAUUUGUUGAAUAGUAUAAUCUAAGAGUGAAAAUGGUCAAAGAGGUAGAUCUAACGGCAAAAAACUCAGUAGCACCGAGUAAUUGGUGCUAUUAGAAGCACCCCGCCGGACUCAUAUCUCUAUCUCUAUACCUAUUAGUACCUAUACAUUAUUCUUCCUAAAUUUGCCAUAUGGCAACGUUCCUUUUAUUGUUGGGUGUGAGCUCUACUCCGAAUCUNUCUUAUCUUUUCGUCAGCUUUUUCUUUAAUAUUUCGUUAAAUUAUAUACAAAAAAAACUUCAGAUAUCCAUCUAGAUUUAUCAAAUAUUUAAUUUAGUACUCUUUAAUUUUAACUUUAUCACUGAUUUAAUAAAAAAAAUUAGUGAAAUCAACAAUAAAAAUAUAAAAAUAAAAUCAUAGAAUAUUAAAUUAAUACACUUUAAAUCCUAUAGUAUUAAAAAAAAGAAAAUAUAAAACUACUUGGGAAGUAUUUGAGAUUUUCUGUAUAAUUAAUAUCACUUGUGGGUGGCAAGCAAGCACUUACACCGACUAUAUUAGGAGCACGUAGUCCGAUGGAAUGAUAAAAUUCACGCUAGUGCCGACUUUCCGCUGGUUUCUUUCUGGAGCCAAAGUCCGCUGGUUUCUGAAGCCAAACUCAAUUCCAAUUUGAAUUUCGAGCCCCUGCAGCAGUCUUCCGCGUUCAAUUUAUUAUUCGCAGGCGUCUGCCCCCCUUUCUUCCCCAUUGCCUGCCGAAAACAAGAUAGCGCGNUUCUCUAUACCUAUUAGUACCUAUACAUUAUUCUUCCUAAAUUUGCCAUAUGGCAACGUUCCUUUUAUUGUUGGGUGUGAGCUCUACUCCGAAUCUGCUGAACUCCGUCACAUGUUUUUCUCGUUCUGUGCUUGAACCGAAUCGGAAUUUUCUCUUGUUUUAUUUGAACUGAACCAUUCAUUGUUGAGUGUGGGCUCUCCUGAAUCGGCUCAAGCCCUCUACAUAUUUUUCUAUUUCUUUGCUUGAACCAACCCUAAUUUUUUUCUUUUUUUUUGCUUGAAUCGAAUCGGGUCACACCUCUACAGUGAGCCAAACUGUUCCUCUUUCACUUCCUUCGACUAUUACCUUUCUUUAUCGGCACAAUGAGUUUCAUUCUUUAUCGCCUUUUUUUUUAUCGUUGUUUUUUAUUUUUUUUCUAAUUACCUGUCAGUCGUAUCGUAAGAAUUAUUGCAACUAGUUAUAUAAUUAUGGAUAAAUUUCAAAUACCAUGCGGUCUACUUUUAGUACCAUGUGGUUUAAAAUGUAUCAAGUUAGUAUCCUGUGGUCUUAUUUUUAUCUUUUCGUCAGCUUUCUCUUUAAUAUUUUGUUAAAUUAUAUACAAAAAAAAACUUCAGAUAUUCAUCUUGAUUUAUCAAAUAUUUAAUUUAGUACUCUUUAAUUUUAACUUUGUCACUGAUUUAAUAAAAAAAAUUAGUGAAAUCAAUAAUAAAAAAAUAAAAAUAAAAUUAUAGGGCAUUAAAUUAAUAUACUUUAAAUUAUAUAGUAUUAAAAAAAGAAAGUAUAAAACUACUGGGGAAGUAUUUGAAAUUUUCUCUAU